RNAcentral lists this transfer RNA (86 nucleotides) under Arsenicicoccus cauae. RNAcentral's name for it is "Arsenicicoccus sp. MKL-02 tRNA-Leu". It matches the Rfam family "tRNA". Rfam says of the family: Transfer RNA (tRNA) molecules are approximately 80 nucleotides in length. The record is from RNAcentral. Lineage: Bacteria; Bacillati; Actinomycetota; Actinomycetes; Micrococcales; Intrasporangiaceae.
GCCGGGGUGGUGGAAUGGCAGACACAGAGCACUCAAAAUGCUCCGCCCGCAAGGGCGUGCGGGUUCGAGUCCCGCCCUCGGCACCA